Molecule: long non-coding RNA, 1008 nt
Filed under: Heterocephalus glaber (naked mole-rat)
Lineage: Eukaryota; Metazoa; Chordata; Mammalia; Rodentia; Bathyergidae
Description: lncRNA (ENSHGLG00000041940.1)
Source: RNAcentral
GGGGCGGGGCUGCGCGUGCCAUCUCCUGAAAUCGCCGCGGGCGCGGGCCUCAUUCCUCAGAUGUGCAUUCUCACAUGGACAUCUUAUAAACGUCAUCAUUUCCCCAUUGUGAGCAUCAAAAGGAAAAUUUGCUUCUGUGUUUUGGAGGAACCUUCACUUUGGAUGUCAUCUUCUGGCUUCCAGCGCAGACUCUUCAGUCUCCAGCGCAGAUCCUCUGGCCUCCUGAUACAAACUUGCAUGGACACUACUGUGAGCCCCAGGUCUUCAACUGGAUCCUUCAAAUCUCCAAGGCACAGACAGACAUUUUGCAUCUUCCACACCUGACUCUGGGUGGCCACUGUAAGCUAAUCUUGUAAAUUCUUAUGUAUUUGUAUAUCUUGCAUUAAAUCUGCUUUUCUAGUAAGCACUGACUGAUAUACCACAUAUUAUCCCAUACUUAUAAACCCAACUGCAACCGCUGCUUCCACUUGUCCUUCUUGACUGCUAUAAUUUUCCAGUGGUGUCAGAGGCUUGACCCUCAUUGACCCUAGGGAAGAGGAAGUUGGGCAUUGAUUAAGAACACUGUCAUAGUCCUGUUUCAUAGUUGUAUAUGGGUGAUGAAAAAUCCUUUAUGUAUUGUUAAUUUCCUUGCUCUUCUUUGUUUUCUUCUUAGUUAUCAAAUACUUACUAUGGUUUAGACUGAGUGCUUGUGUCUCCUUAGAGUUCCUAUGUUGAAACCUAAUCCUAAGCAUGAUGGUUGUAGGAGGUGGGGCCUUUGGGCAGUGAUUAGGUCAUGAGAAUGGAGCCCUCAUGAACAGAAUUAGUGACAUUAAAAGAGGAGAUUCUGCUCCUUGGCCUUUCUGCUAUAGGAAGAUCAGCAGUACAUGAUCCAGGAAGCAGCCCUCACCAGACACAGAACCUGCUGGGGCCUUCAUGUUGGACUCUCCCUUCCAGAAUUGUGUGAAAUGAAUUUCUAUUCUUUUUAAGCCACUCAGUCUAAGCUAUUCUGUUAAUGCAGUCUGAAUGAAC